This 332-nucleotide long non-coding RNA is filed under the name Felis catus (domestic cat). RNAcentral describes it as "lncRNA (ENSFCAG00000053607.1)". The record is from RNAcentral. Lineage: Eukaryota; Metazoa; Chordata; Mammalia; Carnivora; Felidae.
CCAAGACCGAUUGAUUUAUAUUCUUGAGGGUUUCUACACAGGACUUCUUCCUAAAAUUCAAGUAACAUUUGUAUGAUUUCUGAUGUGCAACAAAAACUAAAUAUGUCGUGUUUGCAUCUGUGUAGGCCUCCAGUGUUUAUGAAUGGAGUCUUGUCCUAUGGAGGUGGGAGAUGGAAAGUUUACACUCAGGAUUACUAAUGAAUGACUGGCAAGCCCUUGUGAGGAAGCUACUAGAGGACAUGUUUAAAGAAAAUGAAAAUAGGAGUUUCAGCAUAGGAGACAAGCAAGGAGCAAUAUCAUGCUACAUUGAGCACCAGGGAAGAGAGAUGGAG